This is a long non-coding RNA of Xiphophorus couchianus (Monterrey platyfish), 269 nucleotides long. RefSeq lists it as uncharacterized. NCBI's taxonomy places the organism in Eukaryota, Metazoa, Chordata, Actinopteri, Cyprinodontiformes, Poeciliidae. The transcript has 3 exons. The record is from RefSeq and is a predicted model, not a curated record.
UCUAUUUGUUGUAUUUGUCAUGAAGCGGUGGGGUGAGGGGUGGUGAGGCAGACGCUUUAGACCCAGGUAGGAGGAAUAGUUGAAUUUAAUAAAGAAAAACACAGUCCAGCAACGGGCAGCACGGCCGAGCAGAAGCCAGGGCUCGACGCCGGUAGCAACCAUUAACACGCCUGGACACGAAUGACAGCACGCACGUUAGACAACUGCAAGACAAGGACCCGACGAGGAACAAGGAACACAGGUGGAGUUAAAUACACAGCGGGUAAUCA